AGGAACUUUAGUAUAAUGGUAAUUACGUAUGACUUUUAAUCAUUACGAUGUAGGUUCGAAUCUUGCAAGUUCUA
This 74-nucleotide transfer RNA is filed under the name Emericellopsis sp. 1a5. RNAcentral describes it as "tRNA-Lys". It matches the Rfam family "tRNA". Rfam says of the family: Transfer RNA (tRNA) molecules are approximately 80 nucleotides in length. Their secondary structure includes four short double-helical elements and three loops (D, anti-codon, and T loops). The record is from RNAcentral. Lineage: Eukaryota; Fungi; Ascomycota; Sordariomycetes; Hypocreales; Bionectriaceae.